This 418-nucleotide ribosomal RNA is filed under the name bacterium enrichment culture clone ALO1_GLFRUDD03GL158. RNAcentral's name for it is "bacterial SSU rRNA". It matches the Rfam family "Bacterial small subunit ribosomal RNA", at positions 9 to 429 of the family's 1533-position model. The record is from RNAcentral.
GAGUUUGAUCCUGGCUCAGAUUGAACGCUGGCGGCAUGCCUUACACAUGCAAGUCGAACGGCAGCACGGGAGCUUGCUCCUGGUGGCGAGUGGCGAACGGGUGAGUAAUGCAUCGGAACGUAUCCUGGAGUGGGGGAUAACGUAGCGAAAGUUACGCUAAUACCGCAUAUUCUGUGAGCAGGAAAGCGGGGGACCUUCGGGCCUCGCGCUCUUGGAGCGGCCGAUGUCGGAUUAGUUAGUUGGUGAGGUAAAGGCUCACCAAGGCGACGAUCCGUAGCAGGUCUGAGAGGAUGAUCUGCCACACUGGAACUGAGACACGGUCCAGACUCCUACGGGAGGCAGCAGUGGGGAAUUUUGGACAAUGGGGGCAACCCUGAUCCAGCCAUGCCGCGUGAGUGAAGAAGGCCUCGGUUGUAAG